Molecule: ribosomal RNA, 400 nt
Filed under: uncultured bacterium
Lineage: Bacteria
Description: bacterial SSU rRNA
Rfam family: Bacterial small subunit ribosomal RNA
Source: RNAcentral
UGAGGAAUAUUGCGCAAUGGACGAAAGUCUGACGCAGCCAUGCCGCGUGCAGGAUUGAAGGCCCUAUGGGUUGUAAACUGCUUUUGUACGGGAAUAAACCCUUCUACGUGUAGAAGGCUGAAGGUACCGUAAGAAUAAGCACCGGCUAACUCCGUGCCAGCAGCCGCGGUAAUACGGAGGGUGCAAGCGUUAUCCGGAUUUAUUGGGUUUAAAGGGUCCGUAGGCGGAUCGAUAAGUCAGUGGUGAAAGCCCGCAGCUCAACUGCGGAACUGCCAUUGAUACUGUCGAUCUUGAGUAUAAUUGAAGUGGGCGGAAUGUGUGGUGUAGCGGUGAAAUGCUUAGAUAUCACACAGAACACCGAUUGCGAAGGCAGCUCACUAAUUUGUAACUGACGCUGAGG